This 25-nucleotide non-coding RNA is filed under the name Bombyx mori (domestic silkworm). Lineage: Eukaryota; Metazoa; Arthropoda; Insecta; Lepidoptera; Bombycidae. The record is from RNAcentral. RNAcentral also lists the same sequence under 5 other names.
GAGCCCGGAUAGCUCAGUCGGUAGA